AAGGAAUAAAAGCUUAUCUGGUUCAGGGAAAAUCAGAAAUAAGGAAGAUACAGUUGCUGGAAAGCAGACCUUCGGAAUAGCCAAGAGCACAAGCACGGGAAUGUGAAACUUCAGACUACACUUCUGCUAUCAAAAUAAGCAGUCUUUGAAAACUGAACCAAGAUGUUCGCCUCCAGUGUCAUUAAGUCUUCCAUAUACUUUGUAAUUAUAGGUGCUUUAAGAUCUUCUUAUUUAUUGAGAUGAAUUAAUAUAAAACGUGAAACUUGCCAACCUUAAAA
Long non-coding RNA from Gymnogyps californianus (California condor), 278 nucleotides. RefSeq lists it as uncharacterized. The transcript has 3 exons. NCBI's taxonomy places the organism in Eukaryota, Metazoa, Chordata, Aves, Accipitriformes, Cathartidae. The record is from RefSeq and is a predicted model, not a curated record.